Long non-coding RNA from Zonotrichia leucophrys gambelii, 424 nucleotides. RefSeq lists it as uncharacterized. The transcript is spliced from 3 exons. The record is from RefSeq and is a predicted model, not a curated record. NCBI's taxonomy places the organism in Eukaryota, Metazoa, Chordata, Aves, Passeriformes, Passerellidae.
GCUGCUGUGAGAAGAAGGAAGAGUCAGUGCCUGGAGGAACUGAAGAAGAAACAUCAAGGAGCUUGUGUGGACAUCUGGCAGCAGCUGUGGUCAGGGAGCACACAGAGCCCCUGGCUGGGAGCUGUUGGCUCUGUCCCCUCCAUCCCAGAUAUUCCCUGCCAUCUCACUGUGUUUCCAAUAACUUCAGCAAGCUUUGAAACGUGCUGCAGAAUGACACCAAAAAAGACCUACUCUAUAAUUGAAUUUGAAGAUAAUAGUAUUUAUGCUAAACAAAUUUAUCUCUUGUGUUCUUUGCAUUUUAAGCUUGUUUUUGUAAUCUAUCCUGUUCAAUAAUUUCUGAGGUCCUAAUCAAGGCUACCUAUCUCCUGUGAUGUAUUGAAUCACCCAGGAAAUUGCCUGUUGUUUAACAAUUAACCAAGCUCAU